RNAcentral lists this ribosomal RNA (648 nucleotides) under Triticum aestivum (bread wheat). RNAcentral's name for it is "partial small subunit ribosomal RNA". Lineage: Eukaryota; Viridiplantae; Streptophyta; Magnoliopsida; Poales; Poaceae. The record is from RNAcentral.
AUGACCCUAAGCCUACCCACUCGCUAUAUAUUCAGCCUAACCCUAGCCCCUAGCUGUCCCAUCCACCCAUUCCGCCCGCCGCCACCGCUUGGUCGCUCCCCUCGGGAUCCCCCCUCGAUCCAGAUCCACCAACCUCGCAGUGCCCCAAUCCAUCCAUCCCAUCCUGCCUCCGACCAUCGUCCUCAAUUUCAGCGCCACCCAACCAACCACCGCACCAGCGCCAUGCCCUGCUUCCUAUCUCCUCCCUGUCUCGCCCGGUGCCCGAUCUGCAUCGCGCCGCUGCCUACGUUCCCCGCUGCAGCCAGCCUCCACCGGAGCUCCCUCCGCCGACGAGCAUCACCAGCCCCAGCACCACCAUGGAUGGCCUCCCGUAGCUCCCGCUUGUUGCGCCGGCGUGGUUCCCGGCCGAUCCGCGCCGAAGAGCCUCGGACUCGUCCAGCCCCUUCAUCCCUCGACGCCGAGUUCCUCUGCUUCACCUGCAAGUCCGCUUCCCCGCCGGUCCAUCACCGUUGCCAGCCAUCGGCCUUGCCUCUGCUUCGAACGACAGGACAGCACCUCGCCCUAUGCCUCCUCCUCGACCCCGCCAGGAGCCGUCCUCGCCAUCGUCCUCGCAGCAGGUCCCGAGCUCGACCCCGUCGCCUCCUCUGA